AUACAGAGGGUGCGAGCGUUAAUCGGAAUUACUGGGCGUAAAGGGUGCGUAGGCGGCUUGAUAAGUCGGAUGUGAAAGCCCCGGGCUUAACCUGGGAAUUGCAUUCGAUACUGUCAGGCUAGAGUAUGUCAGAGGUUGGCGGAAUUCCUAGUGUAGCGGUGAAAUGCGUAGAUAUCAGGAGGAACACCAGUGGCGAAGGCGGCUAACUGGGGCAAUACUGACGCUGAGGCACGAAAGCGUGGGGAGCAAACAGGAUUAGAAACCCUAGUAGUCC
Molecule: ribosomal RNA, 274 nt
Filed under: uncultured bacterium
Lineage: Bacteria
Description: partial 16S ribosomal RNA
Rfam family: Bacterial small subunit ribosomal RNA
Source: RNAcentral